Pelobates cultripes (western spadefoot toad) is the source of this 294-nucleotide non-coding RNA. The record is from the annotation of a GenBank genome assembly. Lineage: Eukaryota; Metazoa; Chordata; Amphibia; Anura; Pelobatidae.
CAGGGUGGCCACCCAGUAAUCCGCACAAGUUAGAAUGUGGGCAACUCGGCAGUCGUUGCACACGCACUUUGGUGACUCUAGAUAACCCUGGGCCGAUCGCACGUCCCCUUGACGACACAUUCGGAUGUCUGCCCUAUCAACUUUCGAUGGUACUUUCUGCGCCUACCAUGGUGACCACGGGUAACUGGGAAUCAGGGUUCGAUUCCAGAGAGGGAGCCUGAGAAACGGCUACCACGUCCAAGAAAGGCAGCAGGUGCGCAAAUUACCCACUCCCGACGCGGGGAGGUAGUGAUG